AGAGUUUGAUCCUGGCUCAGAGUGAACGCUGGCGGCGUGGAUUAGGCAUGCAAGUCGAGCGAUGACCCAGAUAGAGAGAUCUUGAGCCCGUAAGGGCGAUAGGUCAAUUUGUCUGGAAUCAUAGCGGCAGACCGGUGAGUAACGCGUGAGUAAUUUGCCUCUAAAUCGGGGAUAGCAUUGCGAAAGCGGUGGUAAUACCCGAUGUGGUUACCGUAUCAUAAGGUAUGGUAUCUAAAGGCCUUCGUAAGAAGGCCGUUUGGAGAUAAGCUCGCGUCCUAUCAGCUUGUUGGUAGGGUAACGGCCUACCAAGGCAACGACGGGUAGCUGGCCUGAGAGGGUGGUCAGCCACACGGGGACUGAGACACUGCCCCGACUCCUACGGGAGGCUGCAGUCGAGGAUCUUUAGCAAUGGGCGAAAGCCUGACUAUGCGACGCCGCGUGAGGGAUGAAGGUUUUCGGAUCGUAAACCUCUUUCGAUGGGAAAGAAUGUCUCCGCAAGGAGAUUGACGGUACCUAGAGAAGAAGCCACGGCCAACUUCGUGCCAGCAGCCGCGGUAAUACGAGGGUGGCGAGCGUUACUCGGAUUUAUUGGGUGUAAAGGGCAGGCAGGCGUUCCGCCAAGUUAGGAGUGAAAUCCUUUGGCUCAACCAAAGAACUGCUUCUAAAACUGGCGGAGUUGAGGAUAGAAGAGGAGAGCGGAAUUCCCGGUGUAAGGGUGAAAUCUGUAGAUAUCGGGAGGAACACCUGUGGCGAAAGCGGCUCUCUGGUCUAUCCCUGACGCUGAUCUGCGAAAGCUAGGGGAGCAAACAGGAUUAGAUACCCUGGUAGUCCUAGCUGUAAACGAUGAGCACUAGGUGUUGGGGGUUAAACCCUCAGCGCCGUAAGCAAACGCGUUAAGUGCUCCACCUGGGGACUACGGCCGCAAGGCUAAACUCAAAGGAAUUGACGGGGGCCCGCACAAGCGGUGGAACAUGUGGUUCAAUCGGAUGCUACGCCAAGAACCUCACCUGGGCUUGACAUGCAGGAAGUAGGAACCCGAAAGGGGGACCACCUGUCAAGUCAGGAGCCUGCACAGGUGUUGCAUGGCUGUCGUCAGCUCGUGUCGUGAGAUGUUGGGUUAAGUCCCGCAACGAGCGCAACCAUCAUCCUUAGUUGCCACUUCCAAAGCCGCAAGGUAGAGGAAAGCACUCUAAGGAGACUGCCCGGGAUAACCGGGAGGAAGGUGGAGAUGACGUCAAGUCAGUACGGCCUUUAUGCCCAGGGCUACACACGUGUUACAAUGCCAGUUACAAAGCGUCGCCAAACCGCGAGGUGGAGCUAAUCGCAAAAAAAACUGGCUCAGUUCAGAUUGGAGUCUGCAAUCCGACUCCAUGAAGCCGGAAUCGCUAGUAAUGGCGGAUCAGCUAUGCCGCCGUGAAUACGUUCCCGGGCCUUGUACACACCGCCCGUCAAGCGAUGGGAGCUGGGGGUACCUGAAGUCCUACCUAUGGUAGGCCUAGGGUAAAACUGGUGAC
RNAcentral lists this ribosomal RNA (1514 nucleotides) under metagenome. RNAcentral describes it as "bacterial SSU rRNA". It matches the Rfam family "Bacterial small subunit ribosomal RNA". The record is from RNAcentral.